Hyla sarda is the source of this 481-nucleotide long non-coding RNA. RefSeq lists it as uncharacterized. The record is from RefSeq and is a predicted model, not a curated record. Lineage: Eukaryota; Metazoa; Chordata; Amphibia; Anura; Hylidae. The transcript has 3 exons.
GACUGUUAUAUAGCCUGCUUAUGAGACUGUUACAGAGCCUGCUCGUGAGACUGUUAUAUAGCCUGCUGGUGAGACUGUGAAAUUAUCUGCUGCUGAGACUUUUACAGAGCCUGCUGCUGAGACUUUUUCAGAGCCUGCUGCCGCUUAACAUUGACAGAUGAGCGGCAAAGAAGAAAAUACCAAUGGUCCAGAUGAGCAUCAUCUACAGAAAGGAGAAUAUAAAGAAGGUUACAGCUCCCCCUAGUGGGCCAGACGUACGCUGAAUCCGUGACUGAUUUUAUGAAGCGUAGAUGGAGCCGACAUAACAAGAGACUGGAGAUCAGCACUUCUGUCCUCCGCUAUAUAACGGCAGAGCGAGCGCUGCGCACAACCUGUGAAAAUCUCAACUAUCGACAGAUGGGAAUAAUAUUCAUUUCACUUCACGGCGAGAUAAGUAAAGCUCCAGCGGAGCAGCUAAGAAUAAAGUCUGAAGGACACUGGA